AGUGAACGCUGGCGGUAGGCCUAACACAUGCAAGUCGAACGGCAGCACAGUAAGAGCUUGCUCUUACGGGUGGCGAGUGGCGGACGGGUGAGGAAUACAUCGGAAUCUACUUUUUCGUGGGGGAUAACGUAGGGAAACUUACGCUAAUACCGCAUACGACCUACGGGUGAAAGCAUGGGAUCUUCGGACCUUGCGCGAUUGAAUGAGCCGAUGUCGGAUUAGCUAGUUGGCGGGGUAAAGGCCCACCAAGGCGACGAUCCGUAGCUGGUCUGAGAGGAUGAUCAGCCACACUGGAACUGAGACACGGUCCAUACUCCUACGGGAGGCAGCAGUGGGGAAUAUUGGACAAUGGGCGCAAGCCUGAUCCAGCCGUACCGAGUGGGUGAAGAAGGCCUUCGGGUUGUAAAGCCCUUUUGUUGGGAAAGAAAAGCAGCAGGUUAAUACCACGCUGUUCUGACGGUACCCAAAGAAUAAGCACCGGCUAACUUCGUG
This 492-nucleotide ribosomal RNA is filed under the name uncultured bacterium. Its description in RNAcentral is "partial 16S ribosomal RNA". It matches the Rfam family "Bacterial small subunit ribosomal RNA", at positions 29 to 507 of the family's 1533-position model. The record is from RNAcentral.